RNAcentral lists this ribosomal RNA (253 nucleotides) under uncultured bacterium. RNAcentral describes it as "partial 16S ribosomal RNA". It matches the Rfam family "Bacterial small subunit ribosomal RNA", at positions 524 to 776 of the family's 1533-position model. The record is from RNAcentral.
UACGUAGGGUGCAAGCGUUGUCCGGAAUUACUGGGCGUAAAGAGCUCGUAGGUGGUUUGUCGCGUUGUUCGUGAAAACUCACAACUCAAUUGUGGGCGUGCGGGCGAUACGGGCAGACUGGAGUACUGCAGGGGAGACUGGAAUUCCUGGUGUAGCGGUGGAAUGCGCAGAUAUCAGGAGGAACACCGGUGGCGAAGGCGGGUCUCUGGGCAGUAACUGACGCUGAGGAGCGAAAGCAUGGGGAGCGAACAGG